GAGGGGGAAUUAUGAAGAAGAAGGAUCUUAGGGCGAUGGAAUUUGCUGUGAGGUCAGACUGGGUCUCCAGCUAGAGCCUGUGGUUGCAGCCUGCAGUCACAGUGUAGCUAGGUAAAAACCUGCAAUCAUAAUUUAGCAGGGAAUACUCAACAGUCAGAGGCUGCAAGGGAAACCUCCAGCAGGAGCUUGCUGCAGCCAGAGUCAGGGAAUAGUUGGAGUUAGGAUGGAUGAGCUGUACAGAGGAAUAAACCAGGACCCUUUCCAUGCUGUGAUAAGGAAGAAGUAUGUGUCUCGGCUCAUUUCUACUCUCUAACAAGAGGGCUACUGCAACAACAAGGAUGAUGAUGGAAAAACUGCCUUGUGGGAAUAUGUCCUGCCUUGUACUGGCCUCUGGGAUGUGCCUGGGAAUGCUGGGGUUACACCAGUGAGAAAUAAAACCACAGCAGCGACAAAUGACAAGGGCUGGAGGCUUGUCAGUGGUUGCAGAAGAGUUUCAAGGCCUUCCUUCUUUGAUCACGCAAAGUCCGUGGGCCAAGGGAUGCUUGGGGAGCACUGCAAAACACUGAGGGGGACUUUCAAAUAUUAACAAUAUCCUGGAGAACUUACCCUGGAAACCUGCAGAAUUUGAUCUAAUUUCUUCUUCAAGGCUUCAAGGAAUUGAUAAAACUUCAGAUAGCUGAAAGAGAUCUGAUUUAUAUCUAUAAGCUUCAUGUGUACUAAGCCUUUUCCAGCUUUAGGCAGUAGAGGUAGGAAACUCUGACCAUAAAUCAACAGAAACAGCAUCAUGGCCACAGCCUCCUUGCUGCUUUGCCCGUGCCACUGCUGUGCUGGCCACUUCUACCACUCCAGGAGCAAGGAUUAAUGCCUGAUACUGGGACUAAAGAGAAAAAUAAGACUUUCAAUGUUGCUGCUCAUUCUCAAUAAUCCAUUCUUCCUCCACAACAAGGGGGACUGGGAGGCUCAUCCCUCUCUUCCCUUCUCCACCUCAGACCUUCUCCUUGUCUCAUCCUCAGAUCAGCAGAAUUCAUGUCUUCCUUCUCUGCUCAGAGACACAGAGUGCAUUAUGCUGUCUCAUGAUUUCACCUCCCACAGAGCACAACAUGAAGUUUACACUGAAGUAGGUACUGACAGUUGUUUUUCUCUAAAAAUAUGGCAUUUUUCACAUCUGUCACCCCUUUAAGAUUGGCAAUUAUUUCUCUAAUCUGAUAAUGUGAUUACUCUUUCUCAUUUCUUGAUCCUUUGGGUUUGAUUCUGAUUCUGCUAGUUAUACUUGAAAUGUCAUAGGAGAUUCAAAGUUCCAGAAAUUCCCAUUUUGUUCAAAGAAGCUAAGUGUAGCAUAAUCAGUCAUGUCCUUCAAAGCCAUUUUCUGAAUUUGUAGUAGGCAUCAAAGUAACUCCAGUGGUUAUUGGGGUUAGUGGGGUCAUAUCACCAUCUCUACAAAUUAAUGAAACUUCACUGAAGAACUGUAUCACUUUACAUCACUGUAGGUUUGCACAGACUCUCAGACUUCAUUGUGAUGGGGUCAUAUAUGAAAGCUGAAAGAAGAUAAAGAGAGGGAAAUAUUAAUUCAGAAUUACAUCCUGUGAUCCCAUUUUAAUUUUUCCUCUGCUGUAUUUUGGCAACUAAAAUGUCACUGCAUUUGAAGUCUCAGUCCCAGAUGCUUCCUGAAACACUUGGAAAACUAUCCAUCGAGAAAAGUUCCAGACAUUUAAUACCGUCUGCCUCUUUUUCUCUGAUUUUCUCUGCUUUUCUCUGAUCUCUAAAUUUGUUAUCUCAAAUGCUUCAGCACAAGAAUGAGGCUCUCUCCUGAGCAUCUCAGCUGUUCCUGAUGCUAUCCUUCACAUGUGGUCAUAAUUCUCUCCAGUGA
This is a long non-coding RNA of Hirundo rustica (Barn swallow), 1867 nucleotides long. RefSeq lists it as uncharacterized. The record is from RefSeq and is a predicted model, not a curated record. The transcript is spliced from 2 exons. Lineage: Eukaryota; Metazoa; Chordata; Aves; Passeriformes; Hirundinidae.